GUGGGGAAUCUUGCGCAAUGGGCGAAAGCCUGACGCAGCCAUGCCGCGUGAAUGAUGAAGGUCUUAGGAUUGUAAAAUUCUUUCACCGGGGACGAUAAUGACGGUACCCGGAGAAGAAGCCCCGGCUAACUUCGUGCCAGCAGCCGCGGUAAUACGAAGGGGGCUAGCGUUGCUCGGAAUUACUGGGCGUAAAGGGCGCGUAGGCGGACAGCGUAGUCAGAGGUGAAAGCCCAGGGCUCAACCUUGGAAUUGCCUUGGAUACUGGCUGUCUUGAGUACGGGAGAGGUGAGUGGAACUCCGAGUGUAGAGGUGAAAUUCGUAGAUAUUCGGAAGAACACCAGUGGCGAAGGCGACUCACUGGCCCGUUACUGACGCUGAGGCGCGAAAGCGUGGGGAGCAAACAGGAUUAGAAACCCCGGUAGUCC
RNAcentral lists this ribosomal RNA (425 nucleotides) under uncultured bacterium. RNAcentral describes it as "partial 16S ribosomal RNA". It matches the Rfam family "Bacterial small subunit ribosomal RNA", at positions 354 to 796 of the family's 1533-position model. The record is from RNAcentral.